CCUACGGGGGGCUGCAGUCGAGAAUUUUGGGCAAUGGACGAAAGUCUGACCCAGCAAUGCCGCGUGCGGGAUGAAGGUCUUCGGAUUGUAAACCGCUGUCGAGGGGGACGAAAAUUGACGGUACCCCUGGAGGAAGCCACGGCUAACUACGUGCCAGCAGCCGCGGUAAUACGUAGGUGGCGAGCGUUGUUCGGAUUUAUUGGGCGUAAAGGGUCCGCAGGGGGUUGAUUAAGUCUGACGUGAAAUCCCUGAGCUCAACUCAGGAAUUGCGUUGGAGACUGGUUGACUAGAGUAUUGGAGAGGUAAUUGGAAUUCCAGGUGUAGCGGUGGAAUGCGUAGAUAUCUGGAAGAACAUCGAAAGCGAAGGCAGAUUACUGGACAAUGACUGACCCUCAGGCACGAAAGCAUGGGGAGCAAACAGGAUUAGAUACCCCUGUAGUC
Molecule: ribosomal RNA, 441 nt
Filed under: uncultured bacterium
Lineage: Bacteria
Description: bacterial SSU rRNA
Rfam family: Bacterial small subunit ribosomal RNA
Source: RNAcentral